RNAcentral lists this antisense RNA (89 nucleotides) under Lactococcus lactis. RNAcentral's name for it is "ctRNA". It matches the Rfam family "ctRNA". Rfam says of the family: Rolling circle replication plasmids contain a number of mechanisms to maintain a low copy number. One of these methods is to transcribe a small RNA called ctRNA (for counter-transcribed RNA) than is transcribed on the opposite strand to RepB the replication initiation protein. ctRNA binds to the mRNA of repB and causes translational inhibition. Lineage: Bacteria; Bacillati; Bacillota; Bacilli; Lactobacillales; Streptococcaceae. The record is from Rfam by way of RNAcentral.
UGUAAAUACGCUCCUUUGUGAGUGUUUUUGAAUUAGGUAUAGAGAAACUGAUUUUGCCGUCAUGAUUUCUCUAUGCUUUUAUUAUACCA